Molecule: ribosomal RNA, 293 nt
Filed under: uncultured bacterium
Lineage: Bacteria
Description: partial 16S ribosomal RNA
Source: RNAcentral
GGACUACUGGGGUAUCUAAUCCUGUUUGCUCCCCACGCUUUCGUGCCUGAGUGUCAGGAACGAGCCAGUAGACUGCUUACGCCAUCGGUGUUCCUCCUAAUAUCUACGGAUAUUACCCCUACACUAGGAAUUCCAUCUACCUCUCUCGUCCUCUAGCUUAGCAGUUCAGAUAAUGUGAAUAUGGUUGAGCCACACGCUUUCACUACCUGCUUACUAUGCCACCUACGCAACUCUUUACGCCCAGUAAUUCCGGAUAACGCUUGGAUCCUCCGUAUUACCGCGGCUGCUGGCAC